This 331-nucleotide unclassified non-coding RNA is filed under the name soil metagenome. RNAcentral's name for it is "partial contains 5.8S ribosomal RNA, internal transcribed spacer 2, and large subunit ribosomal RNA". The stretch from base 1 to 120 matches the Rfam family "5.8S ribosomal RNA", at positions 35 to 154 of the family's 154-position model. The record is from RNAcentral.
GAUGAAGAACGCAGCGAAAUGCGAUAAGUAGUGUGAAUUGCAGAAUUCAGUGAAUCAUCGAAUCUUUGAACGCACAUUGCGCCCCCUGGUAUUCCGGGGGGCAUGCCUGUUCGAGCGUCAUUUCACCACUCAAGCCUCGCUUGGUAUUGGGCAAUGCGGUCCGCCGCCUGCCUCAAAUCGACCGGCUGGGUCUUCUGUCCCCUAAGCGUUGUGGAAACUAUUCGCUAAAGGGUGUUCGGGAGGCUACGCCGUAAAACAACCCCAUUUCUAAGGUUGACCUCGGAUCAGGUAGGGAUACCCGCUGAACUUAAGCAUAUCAAUAAGCGGAGGA